GCGGAGGUGGCGGAACUGGCAGACGCGCCAGACUUAGGAUCUGGUGGGGUAACCUGUGGGGGUUCAACUCCCCCUCUCCGCA
RNAcentral lists this transfer RNA (82 nucleotides) under Spirochaetota bacterium. Its description in RNAcentral is "Spirochaetes bacterium (freshwater sediment metagenome) tRNA-Leu". It matches the Rfam family "tRNA". Rfam says of the family: Transfer RNA (tRNA) molecules are approximately 80 nucleotides in length. Lineage: Bacteria; Pseudomonadati; Spirochaetota. The record is from RNAcentral.